Molecule: long non-coding RNA, 4194 nt
Organism: Brassica napus (rape)
Lineage: Eukaryota; Viridiplantae; Streptophyta; Magnoliopsida; Brassicales; Brassicaceae
Exons: 2
Source: RefSeq, a predicted model, not a curated record
UUCAAUAUGGGCCUACCGGUGUUUGAAACUAAGGCCCAUAAUAAGCUCUUUUAUUCAAAUUUCAAAAUCUUUAAAAUAUACGCUCUCCUUCGAUAUCCCACUAUCCUACAAGUUACAACGUUCCAUCUCUCGAAUCUUUACAGUCUUCCUUCUUCAAUUGCAAAUACCUAACCACAUCUUCUAUAAAAAACAACCAGUCUCUAUCGAAGCUGCAAUCUUCUACAUAAUAACGAUUAUAUAUAUUGAUGAGAAUCCUUUUUACUUUCCUAUAGCAGUCAUUUUUAUUAAAUAUAAUUCAAUUUAUCGAGUUAAAGGUCAUAGUACGAAAAUGAAUUGAAAAGAAGAGGCAUGCACUUAAUUAAUUGUAGUUGCAUGCAUGGAGGAGCGGGUGUUGAGAGCUUUAAAGGCUUGUUCUCCCAUCCUUCAAAUUUUUAAUUUGCAACCUUUAUAGUAUGUUAUUUCUUCAUAUUUAAUUCACAAACCUACACACAAUCACUACUGAUGUGCAUAGUUUGUGUUAUACAUCCAAAAGUAGGAGUAGGAGUUGAUGUGAGUAUUAAAGUUGCAUCGGCAUUCAUCAAUUUAUCAACCUCCCCUUCUCCAAUUCUCUUUAUUGACUCUCCAUUUAUUGGCCUCUCCCUAUUUCCCAACUCUUCUUCCAUUCACAUACACCAUUUUUACCACCAUACAUGAGAAUUGAGGCAUAUACAUGAUGACAAACACACAUAAGGUAUACACAUAUAUAGAUGAUACAUCCAUCCAUAUGACUUCACCAACGAUCUUAUUUUUUCUUUUUGACGAUCUACUUAAGAACAUGAAGUAGUUAAUGAUGAUAUCAUAAUUAAAAUGAUGCUAAUGGUAGAGGAGAAAGGCAAAGAGAAAAGGAGACAGAAAAAUUAGUUAGCUCUUCACAUCUAAGCAUUUAAAUGAGCUUGGAGUUAUUGAACACACCCAACUUGGAACUCACACUUUACUUACCUCUUUUUUUCUUAUUUCUCCAAAAAUCAAAACUAAAAUGCAAUAGUCGACAAAUCACUUUUAUUGCCUAAUAGUAAAAAUCCUUAUAAAAUUUAUAACUAUACAGUUUAUGUAUUUUAUUUUAGAAUAUCUAACUUAUCAACCAUUAAUAAAUUCUUAUAGUAUAUUGGUAUCUAUAUGAACCGGUGGAGACAAUAACUCUGAAGAUUUUCCUACAUGAAUAUAAAUAGAGACGAUCUUUACAUACUUUUCAAGUCUAUCUGCUCAUUUCCUCACAGGUUCAAAGAGAGAUAGAGAGAGUAUAAAAUUUCCAAAAUCACUCAUUGCAACACAAAGGCUGAGGCUAAUGGUUUCUCGACAAGAAGGAACCCUCUUCUCAAAAAAGAGGGGUUUAACAAUCUAUGGAGAAGAGUUUCACAAUUCAUUCAAGAAGACUAAUAUAGAAGAUCAAUCACAUGGUAAACUUCAGAGCACUAGACCAAACUCAGAGAGUAUGAGAUCAGUUACCUUUGAUUUCGAACUUCAUCUCCACACUCCUCUACAUUCAGAUUGGCAGAAAUCCAUAGAGCCUAAGGUAUAUAAUAAUAUAUACGUAACAAAUUGUAUAGUAUUUUUAUGGAUACGACGAUAUCUAUGUGCACACAAACAUGCAUCUAAAACAUGGAUGCAGGGCCGUCUCAAAUUAUACUAAGGCCCUGUUCAAAAAAAAAAUUAACUAUAUAUUUAACAAUGUAAUAAAAUAAUUUUAAAAGUUAAUAACUUUAUCUAUAUAUAUUUGAUGUUUCUCUUUUAAUUAUAGAUAAUAAAUUUAAGAAUACAGUAAAAAGUUAAAAUUUUAAACCAAAUUCAUAUAUUUAUUUUAGAAAUUUUCUUAAGUAUUUUUUUAUUUUUAAGUUCGGACCCUGUUCGACCGCUCCACUAGCACAUGCUAUUAGACUGCCCUGCAUGGAUGCUCCUUAUAUUUUCAAGGGUAUUCAAGAACAUCUGAGGAUCAUAUGACAUACCACAAAAAUUUGGUGGUCGUCGGACGCAGAGCCGGUCCUAGGGUAUAUAGGGCUGGAAGCAAAACCAAAAAAGUGGCCACUUUUUCAGGAAAAAAAAAAAGAACAAAAAAUGGAGUCAAGCAGGCUUGAACCCGGGUUGCUCUUGUUGAAUCUAUGAACGUGAACUUUUACCACUAUACUAAAAGAACAUUUAACAAAAAUGUGGCCGGAUUUCAUCAAUAAAUAAAGCGGCCGCAAGCCCAUGCUUCCAUGGCUUGGCCCAAGGGCCGGCUCUGGUCGGACGACCUAAGAUGAGCCUAGACCUUGAGCUGAGCCUUUCACCUUCUUAUUCACCUCCAAAAACCAGUACAAAGAUAGAUGAAUCCCUAAAUCACAGAGAGACCGUGUCACCAUCGAAUGGUAACAACUUGACAAGCCCGAGUAAGAAGACCACACUGUCUUGGCUUUCGUUUGACGGUGGUAAUGAUGUUGAUCACAAGGAUCAAGAGAUGGUAACAAAAGUGUGCAUGAAAUGCCACAUGCUGGUCAUGCUGUCCACACCAACUCCUGUUUGUCCCAACUGCAAGUUCAUGCACCCACGUGAUCACAGCUCUACAAGACUGUUCAAACCACCAAAUUUGCUUAGGCUCCUAUGCUAGGCUCUUCAGAGUUUUUGGAUAUUAAUGUGCGUACGGAAUAGUAUGAGCUGUAUAUACACUACAAGUACCAAAACUUUUAUUCCAUAUGCUUCCAUGAAGGAUAUAUCCUUUCUCUUUGUUUAUGCUUAAGAUUUCGUAACCUAAUAGUAUUUGAAUUGAAUUUUAACUGAGAUAACACGUACAUGGAAUGUUAUAAGUCCAAUACAAUCCUAACUACACAUUUAUGGAACUGACUAUAUAUAGUUAUGUUGAAGACAUACUAUUGUUUGACAAGCAAACUUGAGAGUAUAUAAUUCUGUUAAGAACCAAGUUGUUUGAAUAUAAUUAAACAGAAGCAGGCCACGUGAUGCAUCAUGCAUGAUAGGAUGUGUGUCAAUUAAAGAAGAAACAAAAAUAAAAGAUAAUAUGAACCAGAGAAGAUCUACAAAUAAUAUUGUUCACAGGUGGGGAACAAGACGAAGAUGCAACAAAACUUAUAUAAACAGCAUACAAAGGUUAGUAAUCUACUGUGGUUUUUUGAAAAUGCACCUAUGUAGAAAAAGUUACUAGUAAUCUGUUGUGGGUGCACUAAUCAGAUACUGACACCUGCCAACAGGUCGAUGCACCAAUCAAAUACUGACACGUGUUAACACAAGUGGCAAACUGGCAAUGCACCAAUCCGCGCUCCAUUAAAAAUCUAGCGUAGUUUCGAUAUUCAAAAUCGAAACCAAGAGAGGGAGAUGAUGAUGAGAGGCAACGACGAAUCGAUGAGAGAUUGACUUUCUUCGUCUCGCGAUCCGACGAUCACCAUCGAUUCCGCCGUUGAGAAGGAAGGAGAGACACGGAGAGAAGUAGAAGAGUUGAGGAGAAAGCUUGCGAUUGAGAAGAAGAGGAUGAAUCGUGUUAAGCUUUGCAGUUCGAUGGAGCUUCUUCUUCUCGUUGUUCUGGUUCUGUUGCUUUCUACUUUCUUCCUAGUUCUUCUUUCUCCCAUCUUCUUGAAUUGAUCAGCAUCUGUUGCUAUUUCCACUUCGAUCACAUUAUUAUUAUCUCCUUGGAUCGUUUUUUUUUUUUUUUUAGAACAUCUUGUAGAAUGGAUCGUCAUCACACAUAUUCUUUGCUUUAUUCUCAAGUCAACUGCUAAAUAAGUAAAUAUUCAAAGGCUUACAAUUUUUUUUAUUUGAAGGCCUGAACGUAGGCCCAUUAAGGCCUAAUAAAGCGUUGUACUAAUAACAAGAGUUAGGGUUUUCGAAGCAGGAAGCUACUGGCCGUCUCUGUAUAUAUAAAUCAAAUGGUAUUACAUCAUCUUGUACAAUCAGUUGCAAGCGUUUAUGCUCCAUCAUCUGUAGUUCUUUGAAUUAUUAAUUAGGUAUAGUUUUUUUUUUUUUGGUUUGAUGGAAGGAAGAUUGCCUCUUCUUUCAGCAGCAAGUUCUGUUCUUGUUAGCUUUGUUCUGGAGGCAUAUAUCAAUUCGCCAUCACGAGAGGGAUUUUAUAAUUUUGCAGAGUUAUUCCUCUGUAUAAUAUUAUCCUUCUCUUUGGUACAUCUGUCUUCUUCUUCCUCCAAAUAUUUAUAAAAGCUUUGAAAUGAUUCACUUAUU